AAAAAAGAAGAUGUGGUAUGAUUGCCAAUGAGACAACUAUCCACAAAAGACCAAAAUGACAUAGACAUUAACAACUAUAGGUCACCGUACGGCCUUCAACAAUGAGCAAAGCCCAUACCGUAUAGUCAGCUAUAAUAGGCCCCGAUAAGACAAUGUAAAACAAUUCGAACGAGAAAACUAACGGCCUUAUUUAUGUAAAAAAAUGAACGAAAAACAAAUAUGUAACACAUAAACAAACGACAACCACUGAAUUACAGGCUCCUGACUUGGGACAGGCACA
RNAcentral lists this long non-coding RNA (280 nucleotides) under Mytilus galloprovincialis (Mediterranean mussel). The record is from RNAcentral. Lineage: Eukaryota; Metazoa; Mollusca; Bivalvia; Mytilida; Mytilidae.